This 271-nucleotide ribosomal RNA is filed under the name uncultured archaeon. Its description in RNAcentral is "partial 16S ribosomal RNA". It matches the Rfam family "Archaeal small subunit ribosomal RNA", at positions 477 to 747 of the family's 1478-position model. The record is from RNAcentral.
CAGCGCCACGAGUGGGGGCCGGUAUUAUUGGGCCUAAAGCGUCCGUAGCAGGUUUGAUAAAUUUCUUGUGAAACUGUUAAGCUCAACUUAACAAAGUGCAGGAAAGACUGUCAGACUAGAGAUUGGGAGGAGUUAGAAGUAUUUUUGGGGUAGCGGUAAAAUGUUAUAAUCCUAAAGAGACUACCAAUGGCGAAAGCAUCUAACUAGAACAAGUCUGACUGUGAGGGACGAAAGCUAGGGGAGCAAACCGGAUUAGAUACCCGCGUAGUCC